CCUGUGUUUCAGAUUGACGAGGUGGCCAACAUUAACGACAUGGAUGAGUACAUUGAGCUCUUGUAUGAAGACCUUCCAGACAAGGUCCGGGGCUCGGCCUUGAUCCUACAGCUUGCUCGAAAUCCUGAUAACCUGGAAGAGCUAUUAUUAAAUGUCUUCUUUGAAGCUUUUCUCAUUUUCAUGGACUCAUCACUCACUAUAAAAUUGGAGCACUGUGUAUGAAUAUCAUUGAUCAUGAGUUAAAAAGACACGAGCUUUGGCAAGAAGAACUUUCUAAGAAGAAGAAAGCUG
This 291-nucleotide long non-coding RNA is filed under the name Rattus norvegicus (Norway rat). RNAcentral describes it as "long non-coding RNA NONRATT008400". The record is from RNAcentral. Lineage: Eukaryota; Metazoa; Chordata; Mammalia; Rodentia; Muridae.